RNAcentral lists this ribosomal RNA (250 nucleotides) under uncultured bacterium. RNAcentral describes it as "partial 16S ribosomal RNA". It matches the Rfam family "Bacterial small subunit ribosomal RNA", at positions 355 to 598 of the family's 1533-position model. The record is from RNAcentral.
UCGAGAAUCUUCCGCAAUGGGCGAAAGCCUGACGGAGCGACGCCGCGUGGAGGAUGAAGGCCUUCGGGUUGUAAACUCCUGUCACGGGUUAUGAAAUGGCGUGGUUCAACAGGCCACGUUUUGACGUAAGCCCGGAAGGAAGCACCGGCUAACUCUGUGCCAGCAGCCGCGGUAAUACAGAGGGUGCGAACGUUGUUCGGAAUUACUGGGCAUAAAGCGCGCGUAGGCGGCUACGUAAGUGUCUUGUGAA